UGUAGAUGUAAAUAAUGGCAGUUGGAGGUCUUACAACUUGAUUUGCAAGUGCAAGCAGUUGGAGACUCAGAUGCCAUCACCUGUGUCUGCAGUCAAUUGCAGGGCUAUUGUUGAAAGGAACUACUAUACCACAGAAGUACCAUAUUUUUAACCAGAUUCAAUGAAUGGUAUACAGAAGGCCAAGUGGGUGCUCCUAUUCCUUUGGAACAAGAUGAAAUUGAAAGGCAGUGAAGCCAUAGAAUGCAAGACUGCAUGAUAUUUUUCAGAGGCCUCUGCCUCACAAUGAGGAACCAACCAAGGAAGCAUUGUUCAAAGAAAAUGACCCCUCCUUAGGAAGUCUGGGAGAUUUAGCCAGUGUCAGCAAAGCCUUGGGAGAGCUAGGAUAUCUAUCUCUCAACUGCUGGCUAAAUGAAAGAGUGGUGGCCCACAUUGGCCAA
This is a long non-coding RNA of Mauremys mutica (yellowpond turtle), 437 nucleotides long. RefSeq lists it as uncharacterized. The record is from RefSeq and is a predicted model, not a curated record. Lineage: Eukaryota; Metazoa; Chordata; Testudines; Geoemydidae. The transcript is spliced from 3 exons.